UCUGGUUAAAUUAGGCAAUCGUGCAAUCAUUGUGUUUUAUUACCAUCAUCAGGCAGGAUUUAGUUGGCUUUCGUAUCCUGGAUCUUACAAUCCACAACAAAUCGGGGCACAGGAGAAACGAAGGUGGUUCGAAUCAGGACUAUGUGGCCGAUGAGAUUGCCUUCUCGUGCACCUCAUGGAGCUCGAAUCCGGUCACUUGUCGGUUCAAUUGGUGCCAGGAAUGGUCUUUUUCUCGGCUUUGGAAGGUGGGGUGGUAUUGAUGGCGAGGCUCGAGUACAGUGGCAGGGGAACAUUGGAUAUAGAUUUGGCUCUGGAUGGAUAUGGACUGCCUCUCAGGCGCUCCUUUCAUACAUCAGUUCGUGGAGCGGGGGUAUUUUAUGCAAAGGUGGCUGACUCUUCCCAGGUCGUCCUUGGGGUGCCUUUUGCGUGUGAGGCUUCCAUCAUCCGGGUCGUCAGCAAAGGCAAGGUUGUGGUGUUGGAUUCCUGCAGCAGGGAAAAACAGCUUAACCAGGCUCUCUCGUUGCUGCUGUUGUUGUUGCUGCUUACUGUCUGCACCGAUUGUGAAGGCCUUUCCAUGUGAUCGAUCAAAUCCACCAUAAGUACUUGGUGGGAUUUGGUAUUGGUUAUGGGCGGCUUCUCCGCUGGCAGCUGUUUGGACAAGUCAGAGCACAUCUCAGGCAGAGGAACUAUGUCCUAGGCGUCUAUAAAGCUAGAGAGGAGGCGCUCCAACCGAGAUCCAACGCUACUGAUACUGGUGUGUAAAAGAGCAUCGCGCAGGCAGAGGUAGCUAUGCUAAGUUGACCACUUGGUAAUGGUAUCAUCAAGGCAGACAGAACAGGCACAGAGCCGAUGUGGCAGUGCAGUCCCGUGGAGUUUCAACCCUCCGUAUCCAUCCACGUGCAUUGCGCACAGGGGACGUGUACCUUGUGAGUCCACGAAAAGGAAUACUUACGCAGGAGCAGCAGCAGCAGCAACGGUGUGUCUGUGGCGGGGGUGGUGGUGAUAUCGGCUGUCGUAAUGAGGCUUUGAAAGGUAUGUGUAGUUUACAAGUGGGCUUUUUGUGUAGCUUAGAUUUUCAUUCCUUGCUCGAAAGAUCGCUCUUGCGAGCUGCGUCGUCGGUCCUUUCUUGGCUUGUUGAUGUUGCAUGUGGUAUUGAUUGCAGCAGCGCGUGUGCUUCCCUAAGCGUCCUCUCUUUUAGCAUCACCAUCCUCUCUCUAUAUCUCCAUCCACCAUCUCCUCGUCUCGUCCGUAAUAGGCAGACUUACCAGAAGCCCCGCUAGAAAGAAGUCGUCUUGUCCAUAGUCAGGCCUUACAACAGUGUGCUCUGUUUGUUAUAGGCUUCAUACUCUCCCUGCCUAGGCCAGAUCAUCUCUCUAUCUCCAAUUCUAGCUAUAGCACUAGGGGUACCUUUGGGAAUCUGGGAAUUUGGGAGUGCCAGGGGCCAGCCAGAGGAGGGAGAGAGGGAGGGAGGGAGGAAGGAAAGGAAUAUAAACAGCAUAUAGAUAGAUAGAAUAGCAGGAAGGAAGCAGGGACUUGAAGGGAGAGCUCUCCCUCUCUCUCUUUUGCAUCUCGGAGGGGAAAAGUAACAACAGCAGCAGCAGGAUAGUAGCAGCAGCAUUACAGGAAGUCGUCACUCGUGGGUUUUAUGGCAGAUAAGUUGCUGCUGGAAUUAUGAUUCUGCCUUCCAAGGCACUCAUUGCGGUGUUGUCUCUCGGGAAGCUAAAGUCAGCGAACUCGGUGACUUGUGGUGGUACUGGUGGUGGUACCUCGGGUGUGCAAUUAUCUUCGGGCCUGACGGGUUGAGAAAGACAAAAGGGCCACCGCCAAGCAGCGAGCGCCACCUACACAGACACAGUGCCUCGGAGUUUGGAACCUUUUCUCUUUACUUUCAUGGAAGAAGCGCUUGAUCGAGAGAGCGAGAUUCGAGAGACAACGGAGAAAGAAAAGCAUCGUUGGAAGAUGGAGGAGAAUCCGGCCUGCCUCAGCUGGAGCCACAUUCACUCGGGAGAUAAGUGUGGCUUUUCGUUUUUUCUUUUUUGUUCUUCCCGAAUUUGACAGCCAGGAACCAGGGGUGGUAUCAGUCCGUGCUCCGUGACAAUGCGAUGGGAUGCGAUGUGAUCCCUCGCUACUGAACCCAUUGAGAAAGAGGCACGAAUUUUUUGAUAGCGUUCUUUCUUUCGCAAGGUACCAGCUUGUUGGUGCUAUUCUUUUUAAGCGUCGUUAUGUCGUGAAAGCAAAAGUUAAUUCUUUCACACUGUGACGUUGUCGCCCGCGAAGAGAGAAGUAAAAAAACGCGAAUCCAACAAAGAUUCUUUAGUCA
Molecule: RNA transcript, 2320 nt
Organism: Selaginella moellendorffii
Lineage: Eukaryota; Viridiplantae; Streptophyta; Lycopodiopsida; Selaginellales; Selaginellaceae
Exons: 5
Source: RefSeq, a predicted model, not a curated record